This 489-nucleotide ribosomal RNA is filed under the name uncultured bacterium. RNAcentral describes it as "bacterial SSU rRNA". It matches the Rfam family "Bacterial small subunit ribosomal RNA", at positions 29 to 507 of the family's 1533-position model. The record is from RNAcentral.
AUGAACGCUAGCUACAGGCUUAACACAUGCAAGUCGAGGGGCAGCAUGAUUGAAGCUUGCUUCAAUUGAUGGCGACCGGCGCACGGGUGAGUAACGCGUAUCCAACCUUCCGUACACUCAGGGAUAGCCUUUCGAAAGAAAGAUUAAUACCUGAUGGUAUGAUGAGAUCGCAUGGUAUCAUCAUUAAAGAUUUAUCGGUGUACGAUGGGGAUGCGUUCCAUUAGGUAGUAGGCGGGGUAACGGCCCACCAAGCCUUCGAUGGAUAGGGGUUCUGAGAGGAAGGUCCCCCACAUUGGAACUGAGACACGGUCCAAACUCCUACGGGAGGCAGCAGUGAGGAAUAUUGGUCAAUGGACGAGAGUCUGAACCAGCCAAGUAGCGUGCAGGAUGACGGCCCUAUGGGUUGUAAACUGCUUUUAUAAGGGAAUAAAGUGAGUCUCGUGAGACUUUUUGCAUGUACCUUAUGAAUAAGGACCGGCUAAUUCCGUG